AUGACAAUAUCCAAGGCAAUGAUCAUGUAUAUAUGCAUCACGUCCAAGAUUAAUCUUCAUGAAGAAUGCUUGCCUAUUCAAGUCUGCAAUACAAAUGUCUGCCAAAACUUAUGCAGACACGACGGCAACCGUUGGCUCAGGGCCUACUGCAGGACUGGACCAGGCGAUCUGAAAAUAUGUUGUUGCGCUUAUUCCUGA
RNAcentral lists this ribosomal RNA (198 nucleotides) under Triticum aestivum (bread wheat). RNAcentral describes it as "partial small subunit ribosomal RNA". Lineage: Eukaryota; Viridiplantae; Streptophyta; Magnoliopsida; Poales; Poaceae. The record is from RNAcentral.